This 750-nucleotide small RNA is filed under the name Pongo abelii (Sumatran orangutan). RNAcentral's name for it is "processed transcript". Lineage: Eukaryota; Metazoa; Chordata; Mammalia; Primates; Hominidae. The record is from RNAcentral.
CCAGGUUCUGCAGCAGCAGGCAGAUGAUGCAGAGGAGCGAGCUGAGCGCCUCCAGCGAGAAGUUGAGGGAGAAAGGCGGGCCCGGGAACAGGAACGCCUGGCCACUGCCCUGCAAAAGCUGGAAGAAGCGGAAAAAGCUGCUGAUGAGAGUGAGAGAGGUAUGAAGGUUAUUGAAAACCGGGCCUUAAAAGAUGAAGAAAAGAUGGAACUCCAGGAAAUCCAGCUCAAAGAAGCUAAGCACAUUGCAGAAGAGGCAGAUAGGAAGUAUGAAGAGGUGGCUCGUAAGUUGGUGAUCAUUGAAGGAGACUUGGAACGCACAGAGGAACGAGCUGAGCUGGCAGAGUCCCGUUGCCGAGAGAUGGAUGAGCAGAUUAGACUGAUGGACCAGAACCUGAAGUGUCUGAGUGCUGCUGAAGAAAAGUACUCUCAAAAAGAAGACAAAUAUGAGGAAGAAAUCAAGAUUCUUACUGAUAAACUCAAGGAGGCAGAGACCCGUGCUGAGUUUGCUGAGAGAUCGGUAGCCAAGCUGGAAAAGACAAUUGAUGACUUGGAAGAUAAACUGAAAUGCACCAAAGAGGAGCACCUCUGUACACAAAGGAUGCUGGACCAGACCCUGCUUGACCUGAAUGAGAUGUAGAACGCCCCAGUCCCACCCUGCUGCUGCUCCUCCCUCUGACCCAGACUCCGCCUGAGGCCAGCCUGCCGGAAGCUGACCUUUAACUGAGGGCCGAUCUUUAACUGGAAGGCUGC